AUGAUUCAUUUGACAAAAUUAGGGGGCAUUUGUUGGUGGAAGGGAUAUGGGGGGUCUCUUAGACAUACAGACAUGAAUUGCUCAUCUCACCUUAAAAAAGAAAAGGGGCACUAUGUGGGGAAAUGGAGCAACCUAGAACCUGACUCUCUCUGGACCUUUUAUGGACCGGCUUUGCCGCAGGCUGAUGGGUGGAGCUAAACCAUGGAGCUGACGUGACUGGCUUUGUUUAUCACGAAGCCAUAGAGAGCAAAAAAAUGAAAGCCAGUUCUGUAAACCCCAGAGAAUACGGACUUACAGUCUUCCUGUCUGUCUCACUGCUGUUCCCGGUGGAUUCAGGACUAUGCUGCCCCCGGGAAACCCACACACUGCGCUAUGAGCUCACAGUCUGGUUUCCGGAGGACUCUUGGGAGCACCCAUUCCCAAUCCUGAUAUUCGUGGAUGAUGAGCUCUUCCUGAGGUACAAGGGAGACAGCAGGAGAGCAGAGGCUGUGGGGCCCAAGAUCAAGGAACAUGCAGGAGCUAAGAACUGGACAAGAGAGACUGAGGACCUGCAGAAAAAGAAGGAACAGCUCAGGAGAAUGCUGGCUGUGGUCACAAACCAGCAGGGCCAGAAGAAGGGCCUUCACACCCUCCAGGAAACCUUCGGCUGUGAGCUUCAGGGAAACCAGAACAUUGGAGGCUUCUGGCGCCUGGGCUACGAUGGGCUGGACUCCCUGACCUUUGACCAGAAGACUCUCAGAUGGACAAUGGCUGUGCCCUCCACCCAGCAGACCAAGGUGUUCUGGGAGACACACGCACCCAGAGCUGAUGGAGUUAAGGCUUUCUUGGAGGACAUAUGUCCUGCUCAGCUCCAGGGAUAUCUGGCUUCCUUGAAGAACUUUCCACCGGAUACAGGCCUCCCGGAGGUGAAGGUAACCAACAGGACAUACCCAGUGGGCAGGAUCACCCUGACAUGCUGGGCUUUUAAUCUGUGUUCUCAUGUGGCCACCCUGGCCUGGCUUCAGGAUGGAAAGCCAGCACAGCAGCAUACCUUUGGGCCUAGGACCAUCCUGCCCAGUGGGGACGGGACCUACCAGACCUGGGUGUCCAUUUGGGUUCUUCCUGGACAGGAACCACAGUUUACCUGCCACCUGAGGCACCAAACACAUGACAUCAAGAUCCCUGCUGCUCCUGGUCCAGGGCGUGCUACUGAGUACAUUCAUGAUGCUGCCAGUGUCCAAGCUGCCUCAGCUGUUUCUGCACUCUCCAUUGUGUUGGUGGUGGUGCUGGCCAGAGCCAACUGAAGCCAGAACACAAAGAACAGAAAACUAUCCGAGGGACUAACAAUUGGAGGCCCCCGUGAGAUCAAGACUCCCAACCCAUAUUCUGAAGCCAGACCUUCACUCCCAGGACUCCAGGACCCAAAUCCUGCCUUGGAAGGUGCACACCAUGAAGACGUUCCAAGACUCCAUCCAAUGCAUGCUUUCAGUUUGGCAAAUUGUUGUAGUGUAGGAAAAAGGAACCAGGAAGCACCUGUCUGAGGAGUGCCCCACUGGGCCCUCAAUGCCCGGGAGGAGCAGCGAAGUUCCCCCAGUCGGCCUUCACCCAGGCGUGCAGAGCUCUGCAAAGGCGCCUUCCUCUGGCCUGGAUCGCUUUGGUAAGGAGGGGAGGGGCACUGAGGUGAGGCUAGCGCCAGGGGUCCAGCAGGACCGUCACAAACUUGACCACUUUCUGCAUCUUCUCUGUCUUCUCGCGCGCUGGCCACACUAAUUUUGGCUUUCCUUGUGAAUGCAAGCUGGUUUCCAGAACUUCCUAGGGUUAUGAGCUCCCUCCGAGAACAUCGGUAGCUCAAAGUUGCAAAAUCACUCACAUGACUCUGUGCCCCAGGAAUGAAAUGCAGGCCCCACGCCAUACACACCCCAGUUCUUUCCACACCAACAACUCCUCCAGCCUUUUUAAAGUUCCGUGCCUAGGGGUCUCUUCUCCUCCCCGCCCUUCGCUCCCCGCGGGCCCUCCUCUGGACCUCUCUCUUCCUGGAUUCUUGAGCUGAUUAAGUCAAGCAGGAGAGACUGAAAUGUGUCACUUUGGGACACCAGCAUAAAACCCAGGAAAUUUAUACAGCUGGUAGUUCCUAUUAUGAUCGUCGCCGUGGUUAGCAGGAGCGAACGGCUCUGUGUGUAGGAGGGGUUGGGGAUGGAUCACAGCAGAAACCCUUCCGGGUUCAGCGGCGGCUUUUGCAAAAGCUGGCUAGAAAGCCCGGAGAAUGAGGGAAAGCCGCCAUCUGGUGGAGAAAAGAGGGAACUGUGGGAACCCAGCCCAUCAAACGCCCGCCCACCACACCCCUACCUCCCAUGAAAUCCCAAAUAGAAGUCAAAGCUAAUGUGCUCCCCCGAACCCUGAAACUUCCAGACAACCAGAGUAAUUGUGUGAAAUAUAUUUCUUCUUGAAAUAGUUACUGUUUUUUAAUUUACUUCUUGUC
Molecule: RNA transcript, 2458 nt
Organism: Onychomys torridus (southern grasshopper mouse)
Lineage: Eukaryota; Metazoa; Chordata; Mammalia; Rodentia; Cricetidae
Gene name: zinc-alpha-2-glycoprotein-like
Exons: 7
Source: RefSeq, a predicted model, not a curated record